This 497-nucleotide ribosomal RNA is filed under the name uncultured bacterium. RNAcentral's name for it is "partial 16S ribosomal RNA". It matches the Rfam family "Bacterial small subunit ribosomal RNA", at positions 28 to 507 of the family's 1533-position model. The record is from RNAcentral.
GAUGAACGCUGGCGGCGUGCCUAAUACAUGCAAGUCGAGCGAACAGACGAGGAGCUUGCUCCUCUGACGUUGGCGGCGGACGGGUGAGUAACACGUGGAUAACCUACCUAUAAGACUGGGAUAACUUCGGGAAACCGGAGCUAAUACCGGAUAAUAUAUUGAACCGCAUGGUUCAAUAGUGAAAGACGGUUUUGCUGUCGCUUAUAGAUGGAUCCGCGCCGCAUUAGCUAGUUGGUAAGGUAACGGCUUACCAAGGCAACGAUGCGUAGCCGACCUGAGAGGGUGAUCGGCCACACUGGAACUGAGACACGGUCCAGACUCCUACGGGAGGCAGCAGUAGGGAAUCUUCCGCAAUGGGCGAAAGCCUGACGGAGCAACGCCGCGUGAGUGAUGAAGGUCUUCGGAUCGUAAAACUCUGUUAUUAGGGAAGAACAAAUGUGUAAGUAACUAUGCACGUCUUGACGGUACCUAAUCAGAAAGCCACGGCUAACUACGUG